GACGAACGCUGGCGGCGUGCUUAACACAUGCAAGUCGAGCGGAAAGGCCCUGCUUUUGUGGGGUGCUCGAGUGGCGAACGGGUGAGUAACACGUGAGUAACCUGCCCUUGACUUUGGGAUAACUUCAGGAAACUGGGGCUAAUACCGGAUAGGAGCUCCUGCUGCAUGGUGGGGGUUGGAAAGUUUCGGCGGUUGGGGAUGGACUCGCGGCUUAUCAGCUUGUUGGUGGGGUAGUGGCUUACCAAGGCUUUGACGGGUAGCCGGCCUGAGAGGGUGACCGGCCACAUUGGGACUGAGAUACGGCCCAGACUCCUACGGGAGGCAGCAGUGGGGAAUAUUGCGCAAUGGGCGGAAGCCUGAUGCAGCAACGCCGCGUGCGGGAUGACGGCCUUCGGGUUGUAAACCGCUUUCGCCUGUGACGAAGCGUGAGUGACGGUAAUGGGUAAAGAAGCACCGGCUAACUACGUG
RNAcentral lists this ribosomal RNA (468 nucleotides) under uncultured bacterium. RNAcentral's name for it is "partial 16S ribosomal RNA". It matches the Rfam family "Bacterial small subunit ribosomal RNA", at positions 28 to 507 of the family's 1533-position model. The record is from RNAcentral.